UACAGAGGUCCCAAGCGUUGUUCGGAUUCACUGGGCGUAAAGGGUGCGCAGGCGGUCUGGUAAGUUCGAUGUGAAAGCCCCGGGCUUAACCCGGGAAAGGCAUUGGAUACUGCUGGUCUGGAGGAUUGGAGGGGGGACUGGAAUUCUUGGUGUAGCAGUGAAAUGCGUAGAUAUCAAGAGGAACACCGGUGGCGAAGGCGGUUCUCUGGGCAUGUACUGACGCUGAGGAGCGAAAGCGUGGGGAGCGAACAGG
This 253-nucleotide ribosomal RNA is filed under the name uncultured bacterium. Its description in RNAcentral is "partial 16S ribosomal RNA". It matches the Rfam family "Bacterial small subunit ribosomal RNA", at positions 524 to 776 of the family's 1533-position model. The record is from RNAcentral.